GUAAGGAAUAUUGGACAAUGGGCGCAAGCCUGAUCCAGCCAUCCAGCGUGCAGGAAGACGGCUCUACGGGUUGUAAACUGCUUUUGUCAGGGAAUAAACCCUUGGAUUUACUCCGAGGCUGAAGGUACCUGAAGAAUAAGCACCGGCUAACUCCGUGCCAGCAGCCGCGGUAAUACGGAGGGUGCGAGCGUUAUCCGGAAUUACUGGGUUUAAAGGGUGCGUAGGCGGCUUUGUAAGUCAGGAGUGAAAGUUUGCGGCUCAACCGUAAAAUUGCUUUUGAUACUGCAAGGCUAGAAUCAGGAUGAGGUCAGCGGAAUGUGGCAUGUAGCGGUGAAAUGCAUAGAUAUGCCAUAGAACACCAAUUGCGAAGGCAGCUGGCUAGACCUGUAUUGACGCUGAGGCACGAAAGCGUGGGGAGCGA
Molecule: ribosomal RNA, 421 nt
Filed under: uncultured bacterium
Lineage: Bacteria
Description: bacterial SSU rRNA
Rfam family: Bacterial small subunit ribosomal RNA
Source: RNAcentral